Long non-coding RNA from Gopherus evgoodei (Goodes thornscrub tortoise), 1704 nucleotides. RefSeq lists it as uncharacterized. The transcript has 4 exons. The record is from RefSeq and is a predicted model, not a curated record. NCBI's taxonomy places the organism in Eukaryota, Metazoa, Chordata, Testudines, Testudinidae.
AUAGCUGCUUUCAAUUACCUGAAAGGGGGUUCCAAAGAGGAUGGAUCUGGAGAGGUGGGGGGUGUUAGAAGGUCUGCAUGGCAGUCACCACCUCUUGCCAGCCUUCUCUUGGUCUCUGCUGCAGGCCUCCUGCCCCUGUCUUCCCUGCUUCUGGCCAUUGAACUGGGGCCCUUCUCAUGGCACUCCUAUGCAAUGUUCUGGACCCAUCAGACACUGCUGAUGAAAGCACCGAGGGCCAUCUAGCUUGGUCUGCACCCCUACACGUGAUCCAGCUCUCCUCAACUCUCCUUUGGGCUCAUCGUCCAGGGCAAGCAGCCCCCCCCCCAGGUGCUGGAUCCAGGGAUGCAAGGUUUGAUGUAGGCUCGUUAAUAAACACACUGUUUGGAGGACGAGUGUGGUGUGUUCCUGGAAGCCACUCGGUGUUUGUAUCCUGUAGGCGCGACAACGUCAGAGAGUAAAUGUCAGGUUCCUGGGCAGGGAGAGCACUGGAUCCUGCUGCUACCACGUAUCUGGUAACUGAGGAGCCAGCAGCAUCUGGGGGUGUUUUUCUCCUGCCACUCCAGAACGUGUUUGAAGAUGUCAGGCUGUGUCAGGUGCACACAGGAGGUGCCCUGCCCAGCAGUCAGGGACUGGGUAAGACUCAGUUCCUGGGGAGAUGGAAUCCUCUAGGAAUAGCAGUGUGUAUGGCACUUCACACAGUGGGGGUCACUCGGUGGCAGUGUACCGAAAACACACCACCAAGGCAGCGACCUGCGUUACAAGAACAUUCUGUAGGUUGCUAAGUCGAGCACUUGGAAGUUGCAGAUUGACACAACUUUCAUUCUUCCCCCUUGUGCGUGCAACCUGGCUAUUGAAUGAGGCAGGGGUGCAAUGGGAAACCUGUGUGGGAUCGUGAAAUCAUAGACUGUACCUGACGUGCGUGUCCAAAGGGCAGAACAAGGGCCGACAAGCAACCAGAAGGUGUACAGCUGGCAUUUCCAAACUUCAAUAGCGGAACAGGAUUUUAUGAAACAAAGAAGAGGCACUUCACUAGCCCAAGGCUGUCCCCCUGGCUGAGUACCAAGGACCUGCUGCGAACAACAAAGCCUCAGGUCCAGGACUGAUGUAAGCGCAUGAGAAUCUCAUUGAAACCCCCUUCCAGAACCCGAGAAAAGGUUGAAAACGUGGCCCCUAAGGGCUCCACAAUCAAGGUGAAGACGAGGACCGCCACAUUCAUUGCUGUUAAAAAUCUCAUGAUUGGUACAAUAAUGGAACAACCAGAUACUGCUGAUGGCCCAUUAAGGGGACUCCACACUACAAAGGACUAUCGCAGGAAUCUAUGUACAAUGAAAACCUCUCAGCGAUAGCACAUCAACAAUGGACACAGCUUGAUUCACAUCCUAGCAAAUGAUCUAUAGCUCCUCCUAUAAAGGAGGGAAAACAACAUAAUCACUUGGCCUCCCACUCCUCCCCCACAACUCAACACCUGGAAACACCUCUGGAGGACAAAGACUGAAUGGGGGAGGUGGUCCCAGGCUGGAAAGGAGAAUCCCAGCCUGUGUAUUCAGGAACUAUACCAUCUACCAGGGUGAGACACUGCUUAAUUCAAAUCCUGUCUAGUUUAUAGAAUUCAGACUGUGGUUUUAAUUUCAUUUCUUAGGUAACUAACUUUGAUCUGUGCAUUUAUUACUUACAAUCACUUAAAAUCUAUCUGUCUGUAGUUAA